GAUUACAAACAGACAUGAGCCACUGCACCCAGUUAAAGUCUUAAAAUUUAUUUUAAAUAAUAUUCAUUAAUGUUCUCAGCUUUUUGCUUGUGGAAAUAAUUUUGCUUUAAACUAUAACAUAAUCACAAAGUCAUCACCAUUGAAAUCAGACUAGGAAACUAGUAUGGAAUGCACUGCACAAUACUCUGUCCUCUAAAGGGGUGAUCACCAUGAACUAUGGCACCCAGUGGCAGGAUGCUGUCAGCCCUUUAGAAGCCCUCAUAUUGGAAAACUGUUUUGCCUAAGGAUUAGAAAUGUGUUUAUUUUUAAAUAAGGUAAGACUGAUGUGACUCUUAUUAAGAAAAAACAGAUACUGCUAUUAAGCAAUACUUUCAUCUUCAUUAAUUCAUCCUUGUAAGCCCUUAUGCACUUCUGACAAUUAGAUACCCUUGGUAGGGUUAAGUAUGCCUUUGCCCUCCCUUACUUUCCCCUCCUCCCUCCACCCUCUAUCUCUGGGCUCUCUUAUUAUGGAGUUUCUCCAUAGUCAUAGAGAAAAAUAAAAAUAAUAAACCUCAUUUAUACUAAGGUCCUACGGACUUAGUGCAUUACUCUUCCCAGGAAUACCUAGAUUUUAAGAGAUGCGAGUACAGCAGACAUGGGAUGGGAGAAGAAAGAUUUUUGGGGAUAGGAUGUAUAGCAGCCUCAAAUUAUAUUGCUGUUCUCUAGCUCCAAUAUUCCCAGGAAAAUUGACCAUUAAAGCAAUUAAAGCUCACUGACCUGCUAGUUCAUUUUGGUCAGCUGAGUGCCUUCAGGAUAUUUAGCCAUUGUGCAGUUUUGGAAGCAGAGAACUAAAGCAACAGUACUUCCUCUUGACAGCUUCCAUUGGAACUGGGCUAUUAGAUCAUUCACCUUUGUCCUAUAUUUACUGUAGGACACUUGGUGCACGUAACACCACUUAUAAUGAGCGCCCCUGGUUCUUACGUUUUGGGGUGUGUGGGUAGAAUUCUUUCUUGUUACUUAUGCAUAUGCAGUAACUGCAGCAGCAGCAGCCCUAGAAAGUGAGCCCAGGGCUUCACAUCUAACUUAGUCCAAAAGCUAAAUGAUUUAAUGUCAAGUUUUAAUGCUAGGUACAAAAACUCUGAAAUACAUUAAAUUUCAGCCCAAGCAAUUAAGAAAUGUUUCUGAAACAUUAAACUUGUAUUUAUGUUACUAAAAUUCUAACACAAAUUUUAAAAACGUGUCUCAUACAUAUGCUGUACUAAGCUUCAUGAUGCAUUUCUAAAUUUGUGUAUGAUUUGAAUAUAUGAAAGAAUUUAUACAAGAGUGUUAUUUAAAAUUAUUAAAAAUAAAUGUAUAUAAUUUGUACCUAU
Long non-coding RNA from Carlito syrichta (Philippine tarsier), 1349 nucleotides. RefSeq lists it as uncharacterized. The transcript has 2 exons. NCBI's taxonomy places the organism in Eukaryota, Metazoa, Chordata, Mammalia, Primates, Tarsiidae. The record is from RefSeq and is a predicted model, not a curated record.